GAUGAACGCUGGCGGCGUGCCUAAUACAUGCAAGUCGAGCGAACAGACGAGGAGCUUGCUCCUUUGACGUUAGCGGCGGACGGGUGAGUAACACGUGGGUAACCUACCUAUAAGACGGGGAUAACUUCGGGAAACCGGAGAUAAUACCGGAUAAUAUUUCGAACCGCAUGGUUCGAUAGUGAAAGAUGGCUUUGCUAUCACUUAUAGAUGGACCUGCGCCGUAUUAGCUAGUUGGUAAGGUAACGGCUUACCAAGGCAACGAUACGUAGCCGACCUGAGAGGGUGAUCGGCCACACUGGAACUGAGACACGGUCCAGACUCCUACGGGAGGCAGCAGUAGGGAAUGUUCCGCAAUGGGCGAAAGCCUGACGGAGCAACGCCGCGUGAGUGAUGAAGGCCUUCGGAUCGUAAAACUCUGUUAUUAGGGAAGAACAAACGUGUAAGUAACUGUGCACGUCUUGACGGUACCUAAUCAGAAAGCCACGGCUAACUACGUG
Molecule: ribosomal RNA, 497 nt
Filed under: uncultured bacterium
Lineage: Bacteria
Description: partial 16S ribosomal RNA
Rfam family: Bacterial small subunit ribosomal RNA
Source: RNAcentral